CAAAGGAGGUAUCAGAAGUCCUAAGUUGAAUUGGUCACAAGAAUAUCAGCGCCGCUAAAAUUGCUUUCGUGGUCCAUUCCGACUAUGUCCGGUGUCGGAUUACCUUCUGCUUGCUUCGCUCUCUUGAAGGAAUCUGGAAUGGGCGCCUAAAGCAAAGCAUAAGUCAAUGUCUAUCUCUACAAGAGAAAUUAACCUAGAAAGUGAAAAUGAUAACGAACAAGGAAAAGCAAGAAUAAUACCUCGGGGAAGUCAACACAAAAAGCGUUCAUAUUUAAUCCAUAUAAGAAGCUAGCGAAGUUCUCAUUAAACCGCGACAAGCUCUCAUGCAUUAGCUGGAGAUGCAUAAAAUUGGCUUCGAGAUCUGCCAUUGAAUCUGCUAACUCCGCAAACUGGGGUUCCAGCGCGUUGACGGCUGGUUGGAAGACACCACCCUGAUUCAAACUUCCUCCGAAAGCGUAGGAAUCUCGAAUCGAGGUCCGUGAACCAGGCCGAAGCGGGGUUGUAGGUCGGGAUGAAGGACGCGGACGGGAGGUUGAUCGGUGUACCCCGCCUGAGUCCAUGACCAGGAAGUAAAAUGGGCAAGCGGGUGA
This 590-nucleotide small RNA is filed under the name Histoplasma capsulatum var. duboisii H88. RNAcentral describes it as "Histoplasma capsulatum H88 hypothetical RNA". The record is from RNAcentral. Lineage: Eukaryota; Fungi; Ascomycota; Eurotiomycetes; Onygenales; Ajellomycetaceae.